CUAGUUUACAAGGUGCCUUGCAACAACGAGGUUGCUUCCGUUUUCGCGAUGUCACUUAAGCACGCGGCGUGUGUUUCAUUUGUUUUGAUUUUGUAUCUUAUCUGCCGUACAGAUUGUAUCAUCAGCACUGGAUGCUAUGUGGAAACCCUGCCACAAUGAGCUAAAGGUACUUUCCUGAGGAACUGCUCUUCCUAUCAAAUGAGGCGUGCACCUGGCCUGACGGAUAUACGGCAUGUUAAGUGCCGCAAUCAAACGCUGUCAAGGGAGCCGCGAAAAGGCGUCUACUGAAGAGAUGGGCAACUUGUAUGUUAGCCAGAUAUCCGUGUUCCUAGUAAACGGAUGGUAUUUGUUCGAGAAGGGAACAGAGUACAUCAGCUCAACCUGUCGUUGAUCAGUAGAUGCGCUGCAAUCCAGUUGCAGUUCUUCUCGACUUUCUCAAGGCAAAGAUUGUCAUCGGCACACUGCAGAAUCUGCAGAUGCUAUGUGGAAACCCUGCCACAUUGUGCUAAAGGACCUUUCCUGAGGAACUGCUCUUCCUUUCAAAUGAGGCGUGCACCUGGCCAGACGGAUAUACGGCAUGUUAAGUGCCGCAGUGAAACGCUGUCAGGAGAGCCGCGAAAUGGCAGUCUACAUUCCCAACAGAUUGGCGGCUACUAAAGAAGAUUGGCAACUUGUCUGUUAGCCAGAUAUCCGUGUUCCUAGUAAACGGAUGGUAUUUGUUCGAGAAGGGAACUGAGUACAUCAGCUCAACCUGUCGUUGAUCAGCAGAUGCGCUGCAAUCCAGUUGCAGUUCUUCUCGACAUGCUCAAGGCAGAGAUUGUCAGGCUGGGAUACAAGCGGAAUACCACGCUCAUUGGCCUUACGAUGCUGUAGCUGAAUCGAAUCCUGGAGCUUUCUAAAAACUGGAACGCAUUGGAUACGACUACAAUCGCACACGAAACGAUGCUCGCGUACAACCAGCUACUAAGGCGUAUGCAGAUGCUCAGCGAGAGAGAUUGACCUAAUUCGCGAUUUCUUGCUGUCCUAGAAGUUCCAUCAUAUUUCGGUGCGGAACCAGGAGAAGCUAGAGCUGCAACAGCGGAUGGAGCACGUACUUGUGCCCUUCAAGGAGUCCAUUGAGGAGCACAGUGCCAAGGAUAGUGUCUUGCUGCAGGCGCUUUCACUUGAUGUAUAAUACCUUUAA
Molecule: long non-coding RNA, 1183 nt
Organism: Drosophila subobscura
Lineage: Eukaryota; Metazoa; Arthropoda; Insecta; Diptera; Drosophilidae
Exons: 3
Source: RefSeq, a predicted model, not a curated record